CUCAGUUCGGACUGGAGUCUGCAACCCGACUCCACGAAGCUGGAUUCGCUAGUAAUCGCGCAUCAGCCACGGCGCGGUGAAUACGUUCCCGGGCCUUGUACACACCGCCCGUCAAGCCAUGGGAGCCGGGGGUACCUGAAGUGCGUAACCGCGAGGAGCGCCCUAGGGUAAAACUGGUGACUGGGGCUAAGUCGUAACAAGGUAAC
Molecule: ribosomal RNA, 206 nt
Filed under: uncultured bacterium
Lineage: Bacteria
Description: partial 16S ribosomal RNA
Rfam family: Bacterial small subunit ribosomal RNA
Source: RNAcentral